RNAcentral lists this ribosomal RNA (464 nucleotides) under Streptomyces globisporus. Its description in RNAcentral is "partial 16S ribosomal RNA". The record is from RNAcentral. Lineage: Bacteria; Bacillati; Actinomycetota; Actinomycetes; Kitasatosporales; Streptomycetaceae.
ACCGCGGCUGCUGGCACGUAGUUAGCCGGCGCUUCUUCUGCAGGUACCGUCACUUUCGCUUCUUCCCUGCUGAAAGAGGUUUACAACCCGAAGGCCGUCAUCCCUCACGCGGCGUCGCUGCAUCAGGCUUUCGCCCAUUGUGCAAUAUUCCCCACUGCUGCCUCCCGUAGGAGUCUGGGCCGUGUCUCAGUCCCAGUGUGGCCGGUCGCCCUCUCAGGCCGGCUACCCGUCGUCGCCUUGGUAGGCCAUUACCCCACCAACAAGCUGAUAGGCCGCGGGCUCAUCCUUCACCGCCGGAGCUUUCAACCCCGUCCCAUGCGGGACAGAGUGUUAUCCGGUAUUAGACCCCGUUUCCAGGGCUUGUCCCAGAGUGAAGGGCAGAUUGCCCACGUGUUACUCACCCGUUCGCCACUAAUCCACCCCGAAGGCUUCAUCGUUCGACUUGCAUGUGUUAAGCACAUCGA